UGGGGAAUAUUGGACAAUGGGCGCAAGCCUGAUCCAGCCAUGCCGCGUGAGUGAUGAAGGCCCUAGGGUUGUAAAGCUCUUUCACCGGUGAAGAUAAUGACGGUAACCGGAGAAGAAGCCCCGGCUAACUUCGUGCCAGCAGCCGCGGUAAUACGAAGGGGGCUAGCGUUGUUCGGAUUUACUGGGCGUAAAGCGCACGUAGGCGGACUAUUAAGUCAGGGGUGAAAUCCCGGGGCUCAACCCCGGAACUGCCUUUGAUACUGGUUGUCUUGAGUUCGAGAGAGGUGAGUGGAGUUCCGAGUGUAGAGGUGAAAUUCGUAGAUAUUCGGAGGAACACCAGUGGCGAAGGCGGCUCACUGGCUCGAUACUGACGCUGAGGUGCGAAAGCGUGGGGAGCAAACAGG
This 404-nucleotide ribosomal RNA is filed under the name Verrucomicrobiota bacterium. RNAcentral describes it as "Verrucomicrobia bacterium partial 16S ribosomal RNA". It matches the Rfam family "Bacterial small subunit ribosomal RNA", at positions 355 to 776 of the family's 1533-position model. Lineage: Bacteria; Pseudomonadati; Verrucomicrobiota. The record is from RNAcentral.